Molecule: long non-coding RNA, 4990 nt
Organism: Vespa mandarinia (Asian giant hornet)
Lineage: Eukaryota; Metazoa; Arthropoda; Insecta; Hymenoptera; Vespidae
Source: RefSeq, a predicted model, not a curated record
GAAAGAAACUUUUCUACUUUUAAUAUCGUAGAACGGGAGGAAGAAUGGAAUAAAUUAUUUGAGGUAUCGAAGAGAAGACGCGCGAAGCUCCUUGCAAAAUAUAAUCGAGUAAACGAACUGGAUACAUCGAUCUACGAUCGUCGGCCGUUUGGAUACUGGUUGGAUGCUGCCGUGGCCAAACGCGCCCGAGACGAAGCGCACAGACUGUCUUACGAGCUAUUGUUUCUUUUGGAUAUAGAGAAAGAGUGUGUGUGUGUGUGUGUGUGUAAGUAGAGAGAGAGAGGGGAUGGAUGGGUGAGGAGAGUUAGGAGAAAAGAUACAAUUUUCAAAAGUUUUUCAACUUUGUCGUACCUACGAUAUAUACCGCGAGCGAUUCGAAAUAAAUCAUAUUUGGGAAUGCACGAGAAAAUACAAAGGAAUACCCGAGUCACUCUUAACAAUUGUAGAAUAAAUGGGUAUCUUGGGAGGAAUAAAAAGCGAGAAUUUUUUCGUCGAUGCAAACGUUCUCUCCCUUUUCUAGCACCCCUCCCCCCCUCUCUCUCUCUAAAGACGAAUCAACAGAAAAAAAAUAAUAACUAAAGAGAAACAAAAGAUAGGACACAGAGGGGAUGCUUUUCUGCCUACCUUUAGCCAGCAUCCUUUGCGUUGAACUCGUGGACGUUAAAAGUAGUGAAAGUUUGAAAAAUGAGGCGUAGAUUCACCGACGUUAGUCCACGCUCGGAAAGAGACGAUCGUUCAUUUACGCAUCUUUUUUUCCGAACAUAACGAAAUAUUAUAAUGAUGUCCAAAAAGAAGCACGUUUCGCGGAAAUACUUUGGAAGAUUUUGAUUGAAGUAUCUAUUUCCCGUUUUUUCAUCAAAGAAUUCAAAAUGAGCCAGCUCGAAUAAGACUACCCUCGUUAAAUUCAACGACUGUAGAAAGAGAAAGAGAGAGAGAGAGAGAGAGAGAGAGAGAGAGAGGGUGGGGGAGAGAGAAACGAGUCUAAAAGCAAUAAAACGCGAUCUCGCUCGAGAUAUUUCUUUCGGGUUCCGUUUCAUUGAAAUGUCAAUGGUACGCGAUCAAACGAUAAGAACUUACGAAUAUCGGUAAUGAACAACAACAGCAACACUAGCAACAUCAACGCGAAACAGAAACAACAUCAAGAACGUCAUCGGUAACAACAAACUUUACCGAGCAAGUUGUCUCUCGUCGUCCAGAGUUAUGCACGUACACGUUCGCUCUCACGAUAUGCUGAACGAUUCGACGUAUGUAAAUAUAUACAUACUUAAUACUAUAUUCGGCACUCUACUGUCUACUAGGUCUAUCACGAGCAAUGCUUGGUGUUAUAUAUGCAUAAACAGUGCAGGCACAUUCCAAGGGAGAGUGAGAUAAACAGAGGUAUAACAGAGAGAGAGAGAGAGAGAGAGAGAGAGAUACACGCGCGCGCACACGCACAUAGAGUGUAUAUAUAUAUAUGUAUAGAGAGAGAGAGAGAGAGAGAGAGAGAGAGAGAGAGAGACAAGCUGUGACACAAACGCAACGAUAACUUGGAUUCGUAUGGUAAUGAUUAUUUGAUCGAACGAGAAGGUCGAAUUCGAAGCGUCUCGAGGACGAAGAAGAAAAGAAAAGAAAAGGAUAAAGGGAAGUGAUACCGAAGAAUUUAUUUCGUAGAUCUCCCGUUAGAAAGGAUUAUCGAAAAAUUCGAUGCUUCGUUCGCGCUCUAUCGGAACAUGGACAGAAAAGUUUGCAACAAGAAGAUAAGAGAAGAAGCACAAAAAAAAGUCAAUGGAAAAAAGCCUCCGUGCUCGUUUUUCAUAAGGACGGAUUGAUUUUUGGUUAAACUUCGCUAGAACGAACUUAGGCGCGCACGGCUAGAAGGAAAUGAGUAAUAAUAAGGUAAGAGUAAUUAAGUAGGAUUCGGAAAAAGGGAAAAUCGUGCUAGGUUGCGUUCUGUACCUUCGUCUCGCCGCCGCCCUCGGUGUAAGGACGAGCGGAGCAGCCGCGGGGGAUGGUGUAACAGCGGCCGCGGCGACCGCAGCAGCCGCGGCUGCCGAUGGCGCUGCCGCACCCAGCCAGCUCCACGGCAUCGCCGGCAACCUGUAUCCUGCGUUUGUUCCACGUUUAUUCUUUUAUUAGUCUCCUUAAAUCUCCAUCACUUUUUCUUUUCCUUCCCUUUCCUAGUCGAUCGUCGAUCUCCCUUCGGCCACGACCGUUUGGAAGAGAUUCAUUCGAUCGAUACGCGCGAAUACGACGCGUGUCACGGUGUUGGUUAGUCGUCGGUAAAUACUCGAGAUUCGCUUUUCUUUUUUCCCUACCAUCGAUUUCACCUAUUACGAUAUUUCGCUUCCUCGCCAAUAAUCCUCGAUCCUUAAUCCGGGUCGACCUAGAUUUUUCCCCCUACUUGUCUCGUGUGACGUGCACCUCUCCCUGUCGAACCGAGUACCUUCGUUCGAGUACGAUAGGCUCGCGAUUAUUCGCAAAUAAUACGCUCGCGCUUAUAGGGGAACUUGGAAAAAGAGAGUCAACGAGAUAGUCGAAAUUGGGUCUCUUUCGUAAGAUAAAAAGAAAAAAAAAAUAUUCAUAUCCUCGAAAGGUCUCUACGUAACCGAUUGAUCUUCCAACGAAUCUUUCAAUGUCGCAGGAUCUGAAAAAGUUUCUUUCUCAAUACUUCUGAUAUUUGAUUGAUACCGGAUACGCUGGCAGUGCUUCUAUGGCACUCAUCAUUUUUAUUCUACGUAUUUCCUCGCUUCCGUAAGCUUUUCCUUUUCUCGUUCAUCCCUCGCGACGACUAAAAAUAAAGAUCUUUUCCUUUUUCCGAUUCGCUUCUGUUCGUGGAUAAGCGCCGCCCUCGAGGUGAUUCGAAUUUCGCGUGCUCCACGUAAUUAAGACCGAAACACUGGCCGCGAUAUGAUCCCAUCCGUUCGAGCCCGAUAAACGUGUCGUGCUUUACGAGGUGCCGUCUUUUUCGCCUAAUUUCCGCCACUCCGAGAACUCGCGAUACGACUGGAACGUGUAUUUCAAAACCUCUUUAAAAAGUUUAUGUACCUACAUCGUCCGGAUAUACAUACAUAUCGGCCGAUCUUUCUCUUAUUUUAUUAACGAUCUAUGAUUAAGCCUCGCUAACGAUCGUCCGUUUAACGAUCGUAUCUAACUCCCUCAGAGCAGGCCCAAGAAAUACAACCUGUUUGUGUUCCAACGUCCAAAUUUAUGGACGGAGUAGAUGAGUAGAGAACGUAGACGACGAAUCAUCAUCGAUAAAGACGAGAGGAAAUGAUCGCGAGAGAGAAAAGAGGGUUGCCUCGAGUAAUUAUUAUGAUCGAAUCCAGAGUGCCUAGAGGCUUCGAGACUACGACGGAAGCUACACGCCGAGAAACGGAGAGAAAGAGAAUAGAAGGGUGAGGGACGGUAGGAGAUGAGAGAGGAGCCUGUACGAAGGGGUCCAUGCCAAAGAGAGAGAGAGAGAGAGAGAGAGAGAGAGAGAGAGAGAGAGGUGUGCUCGCUGCCAGGGUUGCUCCGAGCGAUCAAUAAAUGCCGCUGCCAGCAUCCACCCCUGCCUGCAACCACCUCGUUGCUCUCCUCCCCUGUCCGUUCAUCUUUGUCCUUUCUUCGCAGCCUUCCUUCCAUUUCUCUUUCACUCUUUUUCCUAUAUGCGUUUACCCAAACGCACUCUUCUUUCGUCUACAUCCUUCCACUACAAGAGUGAAUAUGUGCGUUCGCGAUCAAGCGCGAAGAGAGAAAAUACUUAAAGCGGACAUAUGUUAUGUACAUUUAUCAAUUAUGAAUAGUAAUUGAUCUCUAUGCGAUGCCAAUUCUUCGAAGCUACUAUGCCAAAAAAUAUAGCCGGAUAAUAAUUGAAAGACGAACGCGUCGUGUGACGUACACCUAUCAGGUUUACAAAAGCAAAGAUAGAGAGAAGAAAUUUAACGUAAUUCUCGAUGAAUUUAUGCACCAUCAUAAGGCAGAUCCUCGAAAGUGGAUCGUAGUUGAAAGAAAGUAUAAGAGAAGAUCGUUACCGGGAGCGCGAAGAACGUUAAUCAGAGAAAAAAGAAGAAGAAAAAGAAGAAGAAGAAGCGAGGUCGAACACGUGCGAGACGCUGACUCGUCCAAAAAUAAGACUUCCACCUUGGUACGUAACAGCGCAAGGGGAGAUAUGUUUUUGAAAUCGACAAUUUUUUUACAAUACAGGAUAUAUUUCUUUUCGGCUCUGACGUAAUAUUAAUAAGAAUCUAAAGACGCGAUCGUCGAAGAAACUAAAAGAUAUUCGAGUUGAAAAAAUAAAGGGAACGAAAUGAAAAUGAAACUUUCGUCGAUUAUAACGAGCACUUUUCUAAGCGCUUUUUUCAUUCGACGCGAGAUAAUCUUUUCCUUUAACACGUGAAAAAACUACAUCAGUCCCUACACGAAGUCCAUCGAUCGGCGUCCCAUUUUCCACUUUGAACGAGCUAAAACGGCUAGCUGUUGUAUUAAUUAAUAGCUCAUCGCGAGCGAAAUCGCGCGACAAUAUAUACAUUUUAUCGAGCAUGUAGCAAUUUUCGUCGGAUAAAAAAAUAAUUCUCGAGUAUCUUAGUUUAUGACUAACGCACCGUGUCACGCGAUUAAUGGAUAACAAUUAAAAACGGUUCUCAGAUAAAAAGUAAAGAUCGAUGGUAAGUAUUAAAAAAGAUCGUGCCGCCAUGGCAGCCCGCAUAGGAAGAGCUAUAACAAGAUGAUAAGAUGAACGGAAAAAGAGAAGAAAAAAGAAAAGGUAGAGAUAGAUAGAUAGAUAGAUAGAUAGAGAGUGAGAGAGAGAGAGAGAGAGAGAGAGAGAGAGAGAGAGAUAAGAGAAAAACAUACAUUUUCAAGAAAAAUUAAGCGAUCUCUUAAAAGGAGGCCAGCAUGCUUCUCGUUCUCUUUUAUCGUGCCGAUGAAAGAGAAUCGUUACUCCCAUUAAACCUAAUAGCAAUUAGCCGAUAUACGAUACAUACAUAUGUACGCAUCGGACCAAUGGAACGAAGAAAAAAAAACAAAAUAA